RNAcentral lists this long non-coding RNA (484 nucleotides) under Fukomys damarensis (Damara mole-rat). RNAcentral describes it as "lncRNA (ENSFDAG00000030216.1)". Lineage: Eukaryota; Metazoa; Chordata; Mammalia; Rodentia; Bathyergidae. The record is from RNAcentral.
UAAUUUUGUUCAAGCAUAUUUAAUAAUUUUAUCGCGGAAAGGCGUCCUCCCGCCUCCCAGCCGCGCACCUGGCGGUUGUGCGGGGACCCCGCCUCGGUAACGGCGCCUCCGCUCUACCCGAGCACCUCGCGGAGAGCCGAGGCUUCGGUGCGUGCCGCGUCUGCUCCGCUACCGCAGCUCCUCCCCUGGGAAGAAGAAUCUGUAAAGGGCUGUUGGAACUGAUAUACUCUAAUUAUGGGAUUUCAAAGAAAAGGUACCAUAAAUAUGUUUCUAACAUGAUUACAUAGUAUUAAAAUGGCUAGAAAAUAAUUUAUAUUCUUAUUUUUUUGUUUUAAAAAUCAAUCUUCAAUGAAAAAAGAGGUAUCAUGUUAUAUUAAGGAAUGGAGGGCUAUUUGUGUGUGUGUGUGUAUGUGUAUGUGUGUAUGCAUUUCUGAGUUGUGGCUGUUUCAAAAAGAAAUACAGAAAGAAAAAUAGUUCAGGUAAG